This 488-nucleotide ribosomal RNA is filed under the name uncultured bacterium. RNAcentral's name for it is "bacterial SSU rRNA". It matches the Rfam family "Bacterial small subunit ribosomal RNA", at positions 20 to 507 of the family's 1533-position model. The record is from RNAcentral.
UGGCUCAGGACGAACGCUGGCGGCGUGCUUAACACAUGCAAGUCGAACGAGAAUCUACGGAUCGAGGAUUCGUCCAAGUGAAGUAGAGGACAGUGGCGGACGGGUGAGUAACGCGUGAGGAACCUGCCUUUCAGAGGGGGACAACAGUUGGAAACGACUGCUAAUACCGCAUGACACAUUGGGGUCGCAUGGCUCUGAUGUCAAAGAUUUAUCGCUGAAAGAUGGCCUCGCGUCUGAUUAGCUAGUUGGUGAGGUAACGGGCCCACCAAGGCGACGAUCAGUAGCCGGACUGAGAGGUUGACCGGCCACAUUGGGACUGAGAUACGGCCCAGACUCCUACGGGAGGCAGCAGUGGGGAAUAUUGGGCAAUGGGCGCAAGCCUGACCCAGCAACGCCGCGUGAAGGAAGAAGGCUUCGGGUUGUAAACUUCUUUUGUCAGGGACGAGUAGAAGACGGUACCUGACGAAUAAGCCACGGCUAACUACGUG